CACGUAGGGUGCGAGCGUUGUCCGGAAUUAUUGGGCGUAAAGAGCUCGUAGGCGGUGUGUCGCGUCGGCCGUGAAAACCUGCAGCUUAACUGUGGGCUUGCGGUCGAUACGGGCAUCACUGGAGUUCGGCAGGGGAGACUGGAAUUCCUGGUGUAGCGGUGAAAUGCGCAGAUAUCAGGAGGAACACCGGUGGCGAAGGCAGGUCUCUGGGCAUUAACUGACGCUGAGGAGCGAAAGCAUGGGGAGCGAACAGG
Molecule: ribosomal RNA, 254 nt
Filed under: uncultured bacterium
Lineage: Bacteria
Description: partial 16S ribosomal RNA
Rfam family: Bacterial small subunit ribosomal RNA
Source: RNAcentral